GGCCCUUUGGUGUAAUGGUCAAACACUACUUGACUGAUGCUUCGUCGUUCUGUGCAGCGGCCUACUGUCCAGCUUAGAAGUUGCCGGUUCGAAUCUGGUACGGGCCA
This is a non-coding RNA of Copromyces sp. CBS 386.78, 107 nucleotides long. Lineage: Eukaryota; Fungi; Ascomycota; Sordariomycetes; Sordariales; Sordariaceae. The record is from the annotation of a GenBank genome assembly.